This 30-nucleotide small RNA is filed under the name Bombyx mori (domestic silkworm). RNAcentral's name for it is "ovarian small RNA-29622". The record is from RNAcentral. Lineage: Eukaryota; Metazoa; Arthropoda; Insecta; Lepidoptera; Bombycidae.
UCUCCAUAGUGUGCUAGGCCCAAGAUGGAC